GAUGAACGCUGGCGGCGUGCUUAACACAUGCAAGUCGAACGGAAAGGCUCCUGCUUGCAGGGGUACUCGAGUGGCGAACGGGUGAGUAACACGUGGGUGAUCUGCCCUGUACUUCGGGAUAAGCUUGGGAAACUGGGUCUAAUACCGGAUAGGACAACUUUUUGGAUAUUGUUGUGGAAAGCUUUUGCGGUAUGGGAUGAGCUCGCGGCCUAUCAGCUUGUUGGUGGGGUAAUGGCCUACCAAGGCGUCGACGGGUAGCCGGCCUGAGAGGGUGUACGGCCACAUUGGGACUGAGAUACGGACCAGACUCCUAGGGGAGGCAGCAGUGGGGAAUAUUGCACAAGGGGCGCAAGCCUGAUGCAGCGACGCCGCGUGGGGGAUGAAGGCCUUCGGGUUGUAAACUCCUUUCGCUAGGGACGAAGCGUUUUUGUGACGGUACCUGGAGAAGAAGCACCGGCUAACUACGUG
Molecule: ribosomal RNA, 468 nt
Filed under: uncultured bacterium
Lineage: Bacteria
Description: partial 16S ribosomal RNA
Rfam family: Bacterial small subunit ribosomal RNA
Source: RNAcentral